CUACGGGAGGCAGCAGUGGGGAAUCUUGCGCAAUGGGCGAAAGCCUGACGCAGCAACGCCGCGUGCGGGAUGAAGGCCUUAGGGUUGUAAACCGCUUUCAGCAGGGACGAAAGUGACGGUACCUGCAGAAGAAGCCCCGGCCAACUACGUGCCAGCAGCCGCGGUAACACGUAGGGGGCGAGCGUUGUCCGGAUUUAUUGGGCGUAAAGAGCUCGUAGGCGGCUCACUAAGUCAGGUGUGAAACCUCCAGGCUCAACCUGGAGACGCCACCUGAUACUGGUGUGGCUAGAGUCCGGUAGGGGAGCAUGGAAUUCCUGGUGUAGCGGUGGAAUGCGCAGAUAUCAGGAGGAACACCAGUGGCGAAGGCGGUGCUCUGGGCCGGAACUGACGCUGAGGAGCGAAAGCGUGGGGAGCAAACAGGAUUAGAUACCCCGGUAGU
Molecule: ribosomal RNA, 439 nt
Filed under: uncultured bacterium
Lineage: Bacteria
Description: bacterial SSU rRNA
Rfam family: Bacterial small subunit ribosomal RNA
Source: RNAcentral